CCUACGGGAGGCAGCAGUGAGGAAUAUUGGACAAUGGGCGCAAGCCUGAUCCAGCCAUGCCGCGUGCAGGAUGACGGUCCUAUGGAUUGUAAACUGCUUUUAUACAGGAAGAAACACCUCUACGUGUAGAGACUUGACGGUACUGUAAGAAUAAGGAUCGGCUAACUCCGUGCCAGCAGCCGCGGUAAUACGGAGGAUCCAAGCGUUAUCCGGAAUCAUUGGGUUUAAAGGGUCCGUAGGCGGUUUAGUAAGUCAGUGGUGAAAGCCCAUCGCUCAACGGUGGAACGGCCAUUGAUACUGCUAGACUUGAAUUAUUAGGAAGUAACUAGAAUAUGUAGUGUAGCGGUGAAAUGCUUAGAGAUUACAUGGAAUACCAAUUGCGAAGGCAGGUUACUACUAAUUGAUUGACGCUGAUGGACGAAAGCGUGGGUAGCGAACAGGAUUAGAUACCCUGGUAGUCCACGCCGUAAACGAUGGAUACUAGCUGUUGGGAGCAAUCUCAGUGGCUAAGCGAAAGUGAUAAGUAUCCCACCUGGGGAGUACGAACGCAAGUUUGAAACUCAAAGGAAUUGACGG
Molecule: ribosomal RNA, 576 nt
Filed under: uncultured bacterium
Lineage: Bacteria
Description: bacterial SSU rRNA
Rfam family: Bacterial small subunit ribosomal RNA
Source: RNAcentral